GGUUGUUUUUGUUGUUGUUGUUGUUUUUGUUUGUGUAUUUGUUUGUUUUGUAUAUGAUGAUAAAAACAAAACCACAAGAUAACUGAUAAGAGGGAAGAUGAAAAGGAAAAUGGCUGAACAGAAGAGUUGUUCUGGUGUGUGGUUGUGGCUGGGAGAGGCUGAAUGCAUGCAGCCAAAGGAAAGGUAUGCGGUACUGUCCUGAUGUCUUCAGAGAGAAGUGAAAAUGUUUGAUGCAGGAGUAGAUGUUGAAUGUACCCCAUCCAUGAGCUAGCUAAAGAAGAAUGACUGUAGGCAUGAUUACAUUCUGUGGAAUACUAUCAAGCUAAGGCCAGUGUAAGAGCAAUCUAAUGGAAGGCACAGAGUAAUUACAUCCUGUUGUGAAGGUAUAGGAUGCCACAUCUGGCUUGGCUGCGCACAUGCUACGUAUGACUUGGCUUCAAAUGGCUCCUUUUAAACUGCACCUCUUCAACAAAUUUCCCACUUUGGUGCAAGACCAUUCUAUGGUUAUCUUCAAUUUUAGCAGGCUGUGCUGGGGUCAGAUGUCCAGAAGGGAACAUUUCUAGCUAUAUCUUCAUUCUCAAGGAGAGUACCACUGUGGGCAUGCAUUUGCAGCUUGGAGCAGUAGCUGCUAAGAACCUGUUAGUUACAGCAUGUGACUGGGGAAGGAGCAUUACCACAGAUUACCUCUAGUCUAUUUUCAUGACCCCCUGUCAUGAACUGACAUGCAUAAGUACACUGCUGGAGUGUAUUUCCCACAUAGCUGCAUCUGGGAGGAAUCUAAUACUCUCCAAGAGCCAACCACAGUGCAGUGAAUGGGAAAACUGAAAGACUCACUUUAAAAAGAUAAGCCCCAUCUCAACUAAAAUGCUGGCCUAGUUUCACCCACUGAAUACAGCAGGCUUAGGAUCACUCCUCACAAGCAGUCAUGAAUUUUUCUUUCCUUCAAAACUGAGUUAGGAAAGAAUGACGUACUACUUAAGCAUGAAACCGGUGUGAACUUUCUGUGCAGAAAACAUAAUCAAGUGUGUAGUAACUUAUCUUCUUGACUGCAUGUUACUCUUAGCUGGGGAAACAUGGAAAAUUGUCUAUAUGGGCCACAUAGUCACUUUAGAUCUCUCAAUCUGUGAUGCAAAAAAAAACCACCAACAAAAACACUGUGUGUUUUAAAAACUAGAGAAAUUGUGGUCUAAUACAGGAAGGCUGUCUUUGUCCUCUAAAAGAUGAGCAGGAAUAAUUGAAUCAUUUUUGCCUUUCUUUUUGCUACUCCAAAACCUUCCUGCUGCAUAUGUAGCUUGUACUCCACAGCAUACAGUCAGCUGCAAGGCAGUAAAACCAAUUCUCUUUACAGAAAGACCCCAUUUCCCUUCCCAAAUACAAAUUUCAUUCCUUUAUUUCUGUUCAC
Molecule: long non-coding RNA, 1402 nt
Organism: Coturnix japonica (Japanese quail)
Lineage: Eukaryota; Metazoa; Chordata; Aves; Galliformes; Phasianidae
Source: Ensembl